Cygnus atratus (black swan) is the source of this 762-nucleotide long non-coding RNA. RefSeq lists it as uncharacterized. The record is from RefSeq and is a predicted model, not a curated record. The transcript is spliced from 3 exons. Lineage: Eukaryota; Metazoa; Chordata; Aves; Anseriformes; Anatidae.
CUGGCUACAACUUCGAGAAACUUUGGCUAUAGCACAGUGUGGCAAAUAGAUCCCAGAAUAUAUGUCAGGAACACUGUGUGAGGAAGAAGGGGAUUGUCUUCUCUCUGAGAAUGUGUUUACUCUGGGUUGGUGACUGUCUGAAACCUCUGCAAAUUUGGUCUCCUGAUCUGGCAACCUCUUCUGCUUUUGCAGACUUCAUCUUCCCAUAGAUUGUCUUUGGGGAAUUUUUCUCAAGUCCUGCAGGCCCGGAGGAGUGCUUCAUCUUAUUCUUCUGGCCUGGUUUUUGACAGAGUGCUUCCCUUAAAUCCAUCCACCGCUCAGCUGUUCACAGCUCCCUGAUUCAUACCAGCCUGCUCUGCCUGCGUGAGCACUGUGCUGGUUCCCGUGGCCAAGCUUUUGCAGCUGAUGCUCUUCAUCUCAGGAGGUCAACUGGGGCACCGGGAGGGAAAGUUAUAGACAGAUGGGCCCCCAUGUCCGCUUUUCCUGAGGUGGUACCAGCUAUGGUUUCUGAUUACAGUCAAAUAAAUGCAGUGGAUGCUCAGGUAUACAUGCAAAUGCCGGGUGUUCCCCAGGUGAACCCAGCUGCAGCAGGAGACCACCAUAAACUGCACUGCUGAGACCUAAAAAGAGCGUCUAUGAAAUUAAUUGGGGCUUUCAAAUAAAAGGCAUGUAAUGUAAAACUGAUAAAUCCAUUAAAUGUAUAUUACGGCUGCAGUUGCUUUGUUCAGGCAAAAGAUUAAUUUGUGGAACAGUUUGCUAUUG